GACGAACGCUGGCGGCGCGCCUAACACAUGCAAGUCGAACGGAGCUGAGAGAAGCUUGCUUUUCUUAGCUUAGUGGCGAACGGGUGAGUAACGCGUGAGUAACCUGCCCUGGAGUGGGGGACAACAGUUGGAAACGACUGCUAAUACCGCAUAAGCCCACGAUCCGGCAUCGGAUUGAGGGAAAAGGAUUUAUUCGCUUCAGGAUGGACUCGCGUCCAAUUAGCUAGUUGGUGAGGUAACGGCCCACCAAGGCGACGAUUGGUAGCCGGACUGAGAGGUUGAACGGCCACAUUGGGACUGAGACACGGCCCAGACUCCUACGGGAGGCAGCAGUGGGGGAUAUUGCACAAUGGGGGAAACCCUGAUGCAGCAACGCCGCGUGGAGGAAGAAGGUUUUCGGAUUGUAAACUCCUGUCGUUAGGGACGAUAAUGACGGUACCUAACAAGAAAGCACCGGCUAACUACGUG
RNAcentral lists this ribosomal RNA (468 nucleotides) under uncultured bacterium. Its description in RNAcentral is "partial 16S ribosomal RNA". It matches the Rfam family "Bacterial small subunit ribosomal RNA", at positions 28 to 507 of the family's 1533-position model. The record is from RNAcentral.